UACGAAGGAUCCAAGCGUUAUCCGGAUUUAUUGGGUUUAAAGGGUGCGUAGGCGGGCUAUUAAGUCAGUGGUGAAAGCCCCAAGCUUAACUUGGGAAUUGCCAUUGAUACUGAUUGUCUUGAGUACACUUGAAGUGGGCGGAAUGUGUCAUGUAGCGGUGAAAUGCUUAGAUAUGACACAGAACACCGAUUGCGAAGGCAGCUCACUAAAUUGUAACUGACGCUGAGGCACGAAAGCGUGGGGAUCAAACAGG
RNAcentral lists this ribosomal RNA (253 nucleotides) under uncultured bacterium. Its description in RNAcentral is "partial 16S ribosomal RNA". It matches the Rfam family "Bacterial small subunit ribosomal RNA", at positions 524 to 776 of the family's 1533-position model. The record is from RNAcentral.